Molecule: ribosomal RNA, 497 nt
Filed under: uncultured bacterium
Lineage: Bacteria
Description: partial 16S ribosomal RNA
Rfam family: Bacterial small subunit ribosomal RNA
Source: RNAcentral
GAUGAACGCUAGCGGCAGGCUUAAUACAUGCAAGUCGAACGGUAAGGUCUCUUCGGAGAUACACGAGUGGCGCACGGGUGCGUAACGCGUAUGCAACCUACCUUUAACUGGGAAAUAGCCCCGAGAAAUCGGGAUUAAUGUCCCAUAUUAUUCUCUGAUAGCAUUAACGGGGAAUGAAAGCUCCGGCGGUUAUUGAUGGGAAUGCGUGACAUUAGCUAGUUGGUGAGGUAACGGCUCACCAAGGCAACGAUGUCUAGGGGUCCUGAGAGGGUUAACCCCCAAACUGGUACUGAGACACGGACCAGACUCCUACGGGAGGCAGCAGUAAGGAAUAUUGGGCAAUGGACGCAAGUCUGACCCAGCCAUGCCGCGUGAAGGAUGACUGUCCUAUGGAUUGUAAACUUCUUUUAUGCAGGAAAAAUAGCCUGGUCGUGAACCGGGUUUGAUGGUACUGUAUGAAUAAGCAUCGGCUAACUCCGUGCCAGCCGCCGCCGUAA